UGGGGAAUAUUGCACAAUGGGCGCAAGCCUGAUGCAGCCAUGCCGCGUGUGUGAAGAAGGCCUUCGGGUUGUAAAGCACUUUCAGCGAGGAGGAAGGUGGUGAGCUUAAUACGCUCAUCAAUUGACGUUACUCGCAGAAGAAGCACCGGCUAACUCCGUGCCAGCAGCCGCGGUAAUACGGAGGGUGCAAGCGUUAAUCGGAAUUACUGGGCGUAAAGCGCACGCAGGCGGUUUGUUAAGUCAGAUGUGAAAUCCCCGGGCUCAACCUGGGAACUGCAUUUGAAACUGGCAAGCUAGAGUCUCGUAGAGGGGGGUAGAAUUCCAGGUGUAGCGGUGAAAUGCGUAGAGAUCUGGAGGAAUACCGGUGGCGAAGGCGGCCCCCCUGGACGAAGACUGACGCUCAGGUGCGAAAAGCGUGGGGCAGCAAACAGGAUUAGAUACCCUGGUAGUCCACGCUGUAAACGAUGUCGAUUUGGAGGUUGUGCCCCUUGAGGCGUGGCUUCCGGAGCUAACGNGUUAAAUCGACCGCCUGGGGAGUACGGCCGCAAGGUUAAAACUUAAAUGAAUUGACGGGUCUAGCUG
This 582-nucleotide ribosomal RNA is filed under the name uncultured bacterium. RNAcentral's name for it is "partial 16S ribosomal RNA". It matches the Rfam family "Bacterial small subunit ribosomal RNA", at positions 355 to 932 of the family's 1533-position model. The record is from RNAcentral.